Molecule: ribosomal RNA, 373 nt
Filed under: uncultured Glomus
Lineage: Eukaryota; Fungi; Glomeromycota; Glomeromycetes; Glomerales; Glomeraceae
Description: SSU rRNA
Rfam family: Eukaryotic small subunit ribosomal RNA
Source: RNAcentral
AGCAGCCGCGGUAAUUCCAGCUCCAAUAGCGUAUAUUAAAGUUGUUGCAGUUAAAAAGCUCGUAGUUGAAUUUCGGGAUCAAUAUGUCGGUCGUGCCUUGGUACGUACUGGUAUCAUUGGUCUCUCCCUUCUGACGAACCAUGAUGUCAUUAAUUUGGUGUUAUGGGGAAGUUAGGACUGUUACUUUGAAAAAAUUAGAGUGUUUAAAGCAAGCUAACGCUUGAAUACAUUAGCAUGGAAUAAUGAAAUAGGACGUUUGAUCCUAUUUUAUUGGUUUCUAGGAUCGACGUAAUGAUUAAUAGGGAUAGUUGGGGGCAUUAGUAUUCAAUUGUCAGAGGUGAAAUUCUUGGAUUUAUUGAAGACUAACUACUGC